UGUUGAACAUUGUUGAUAUUUGAAAUCAUCCCAAACAAACCCACCCCUCUCUUCAUUGCUCUGCCUCUAAAACAAACUCUCCAAUCCUAACCACUCUGCUCCAAGUCGGUCUCGAACCUUGGCCCGAUCAUUGCUGGCAUGCGAGGCAUACACAUACUCUUUUGGACCAUGAGGGGAAUUGGGGGAUAGAGACAUCGACUGGCCAAGUCUGACUGAAGCUGUCACUAUUGCUGUUGUUCCUGUAGGAGCUGCUCACCUCUGCCACAAUAAGUUGACCUGAGAUCAGCCUUCACCGUAUGGUCAUUACCGAGGGAUCAAUCUCAGGGGUCAUCCCGACCUCUGGACAUUAUGGAGGCCAGAGACAGAGCAAAAGGCACAUACUGUACCACCAGUCAUUGCCCCACAGACCACCAGUGCAUGAGUAAAAAUAGACACUGAUCACAGACAACAACACAAUGUGCUCUAGAUCAGUUUACGCUACUGGAUAAAUUCUGGGAUAUCUCAGACUAUGAUGGAUUCAUGAAAAUUUUGUAAGUUAAAUUCUAAGAAGUUUGUAAGAAUGUUGCUAUGUGCAAUUCUUAAACAGUUCUUGAACAUUUUUUUUUUUUUCUUUGCCUGCAGAUUACCGUAUAAUAAUAAUUAAAAAAAAGUGCAUACUAUUUUUGUCAUGACUGGCAUUCAGAGUCACGUUAUUAUUGUGGUGUGUAUUUUAAAUAGUUCUUUUUAAAGAGCCAGUCAAUGCAUCUUGUAUGUGUGUGUGUGUGUGUGUGAGAGUGAGUGCUGCUACAGUGAACAUGUCAUGCGCUUUCAUAUGUGUUGAAUGAUGCCGAAAAUUAUGUUGUAUUUACCCAAUUAAAAAUAAUUUGACUAA
Megalobrama amblycephala (Wuchang bream) is the source of this 871-nucleotide long non-coding RNA. RefSeq lists it as uncharacterized. The transcript has 2 exons. Lineage: Eukaryota; Metazoa; Chordata; Actinopteri; Cypriniformes; Xenocyprididae. The record is from RefSeq and is a predicted model, not a curated record.